RNAcentral lists this ribosomal RNA (1059 nucleotides) under Triticum aestivum (bread wheat). Its description in RNAcentral is "partial small subunit ribosomal RNA". Lineage: Eukaryota; Viridiplantae; Streptophyta; Magnoliopsida; Poales; Poaceae. The record is from RNAcentral.
AUGUCGUCCGCCAGCGCCGGCGGCAACCGUUCGAGGUCCUACAUCGUGGCCGGCGAGGCCAGGGGGCACCACCUUCUCACGAUCCACGGCUACUUGCGCACCAAGUUCACCCCCACGGGUGAGUGCAUCAUGUCCCGCCCUUUCAUCAUCGACGGCCAUCGCUGGUGCAUCGAGUACUACCCCAACGGCGUGUGCCGCGAGGUCGCUGAUUGCGUGUCCCUCUCCCUGGUGCUCGACGAAGACGUCGCGGCGGCGGUGAAGGUCCAGCACGGCAUGCGCCUCGUCGGCGAGGCGGACGAGGACCGACCGGCGUUACUAACUUCGGAGGACAGAUUCCCUUCCCGGGGCGUCUCUUCGCACACGAGGUUCAUCAGAAGGGUCGACCUGGAGAGGUCCAAGUAUCUCAGGAACGAUUCCUUCACAAUCCGGUGUGAUAUCGUCCUCGAACACGACAUCCGCGCGGAGGACCACACGGCGGCCUUUGUCUUCACGCCCCCAUGCGACCUGCGCCAGGACCUUGGCGGGCUCCUCGAUUCCGAGAAGGGCGCCGACGUGGUGUUCGAGGUCGGAGGGGAGACAGUCGCCGCUCACCGGUGCAUACUCGCGGCCCGCUCGCCCGUCUUUGCGGCCGAGCUCUUUGGCCCAAUGAAGGAGGGCAACGCUGCAACCGCCGGCGUGGUCGUGCACGUGGAGGACAUGGAGGCGGAGGUGUUCAAGGCACUGCUCCGUUUCGCAUACACCGGCUUGUUGCCGGAAACACGCAAAGAAGACCUAGAUGUCACCUGCCAACAUCUAUUAGUCGCGGCAGACAGGUACGACAUGAAGCGGCUCAAGUUGAUCUGCGAGGAGAAUCUGUGUGAGUACAUAAAUGUGAACUCGGCGGCGAUCAUCUUGGCGCUAGCCGAACAACACCAUUGUGUGAGGUUGAAGAGGGCCUGCUUCCGUUUUCUCGCCGAUCCACGGAAUCUGAGGGCGGUCGUGGCCACCGACGGCUUCCAGCAUCUGAGUAGGAGCUGUCCUUCCCUUAUGGUCGAGCUCAUUGCCACCUUAGCUAUGUGA